UACGUAGGGGGCAAGCGUUUGUCCGGAUUUAUUGGGCGUAAAGAGCGUGUAGGCGGCCAGGGUAGGUCUGCUGUGAAAACUCGAGGCUUAACCUCGAGAUGUCGGCGGAAACCAUCUGGCUAGAGUCCGGAAGAGGAGAAUGGAAUUCCCGGUGUAGCGGUGAAAUGCGCAGAUAUCAGGAAGAACACCCGUGGCUAAGGCGGCUCUCUAGUACGGUACUGACGCUGAGACGCGAAAACGUGGGGAGCGAACAGG
Molecule: ribosomal RNA, 255 nt
Filed under: uncultured bacterium
Lineage: Bacteria
Description: partial 16S ribosomal RNA
Rfam family: Bacterial small subunit ribosomal RNA
Source: RNAcentral